Molecule: ribosomal RNA, 397 nt
Filed under: Tinaminyssus columbae
Lineage: Eukaryota; Metazoa; Arthropoda; Arachnida; Mesostigmata; Rhinonyssidae
Description: partial 16S ribosomal RNA
Rfam family: Bacterial large subunit ribosomal RNA (bases 133-397)
Source: RNAcentral
UGGUAAUUUGACCAUGCUAAGGUAUUGAAAUAAGAUUUUAAUUGAGUGCUAAGAGAAUGGAUAAAUGAGGAGUAGCUUUUUUAUUUUUAAUAUUAAAAAUUUAAUAAAAGUUAAAAAUGACUUUGUAAUUUAGUGGGACGAGAAGACCCUAGAAUCUUAUUUUGUUAUAGCUAAUAUAUAUGAUAUGACAAAUUUUGUUGGGGCGACAUAAAAAUAUUAAAAAACUUUAUAAAUAAUUAUUUAUUAAUAAUUAGUAAGAAAGAUACUCUAGGGAUAACAGCGUUAUUAUUUUGGAUAGUUCAUAUUGAUAAAAUAGUUUGCGACCUCGAUGUUGAAUUAAUGAGUCUGCUAAGUGUAGAAGCUUAGUAAGAUAGAUUGCUCAUCUUUUAAAUCAUUA